Molecule: unclassified non-coding RNA, 120 nt
Organism: Serinus canaria (Common canary)
Lineage: Eukaryota; Metazoa; Chordata; Aves; Passeriformes; Fringillidae
Source: Ensembl
UUAUUUAUUCAUAGAACAUGUACAGUGUAGGAAGCUGAACUGAAAGCUUACUCCAUGCCUUCUUGCCAAUGGCCCUGCACCCUGCCCUGGAAGAAUGCUGGAUAUUUUCAGAAAUAAGAA